GCCUUCUUAGCGUAGUUGGUAGAGCACCCGCCUAGUAAGCGGGAGCUCGUCGGUUCAAUUUCGGCAGAAGUUU
This 73-nucleotide transfer RNA is filed under the name Perkinsus marinus ATCC 50983. It matches the Rfam family "tRNA". Rfam says of the family: Transfer RNA (tRNA) molecules are approximately 80 nucleotides in length. The record is from Rfam by way of RNAcentral. Lineage: Eukaryota; Perkinsozoa; Perkinsida; Perkinsidae.